RNAcentral lists this ribosomal RNA (478 nucleotides) under uncultured bacterium. RNAcentral's name for it is "bacterial SSU rRNA". It matches the Rfam family "Bacterial small subunit ribosomal RNA", at positions 18 to 518 of the family's 1533-position model. The record is from RNAcentral.
UCUGGUUCAGAACGAACGCUGGCGGCAUGGAUUAGGCAUGCAAGUCGAACGGGAGCAGCAAUGCUCCAGUGGCGCAAGGGUGAGGAACACGUGAACAACCUGCCUUCGAGUUGGGGAUAGCUUCUGGAAACGGGAGAUAAUACCGAAUAACAUCACCGGAUCGCAUGAUUUGGUGAUCAAAGCAGCAAUGCGCUUGAAGAGGGGUUCGCGUCCCAUUAGCUAGUUGGUGAGGUAACGGCCCACCAAGGCGAUGAUGGGUAGCUGGUCUGAGAGGACGACCAGCCACAUUGGGACUGAGAUACUGCCCAGACUCCUACGGGAGGCUGCAGUCGAGAAUUUUGGGCAAUGGACGAAAGUCUGACCCAGCCAAUGCCGCGUGCGGGAUGAACGGUCUUCGGAUUGUAAACCGCUGUCAAGAGGGACGAAACAUGACGGUACCUCUGGAGGAAGCCACGGCUAACUACGUGCCAGCCGCAGC